Molecule: long non-coding RNA, 1387 nt
Organism: Drosophila innubila
Lineage: Eukaryota; Metazoa; Arthropoda; Insecta; Diptera; Drosophilidae
Exons: 2
Source: RefSeq, a predicted model, not a curated record
GAUUCUGCUUGGCUACGGAUGAGUCGGCAUUUUCAACUGAAGAAUGUUCAAUAGUUGCCGUGUCUGGUUUAUUAUGGAAGUACAAGCUCUUCUUAACAUUGGGAAGUCCAAAGGACCACAGGAGAGCCAGGACUUGUGCUAUUUUACUUACAGCCCGCAGAUAUGUAGAGUAGUUGCUUAUAGUUCAUCCAAUUCAGGCCUAUGAGUAGCUGUGCCGAUAAUCCAGCCACCAACUUGCCAACAAACAUCGCCGCCCUGGUGUGGGAGGUAACGCGGGGAUAAUACUUCUUGUCGACCUUGGCAUAAAUAUAGGAAUAAUAUGCCACUUCGGUGGCCUGAUAAAAACCAUAAAACACCUCAACAAUUUGCAGUCCCAACAGCGUUGUUGUCCAAAUAAGUACACUCCAGAUAACAAUGCCAGUUAAUGCGUUGGCAAUAAUCAAAGGUUUAUAUCUGUAGAAUACAUGUAAUUGUGCACUUUAUAAGUGUAUAACGAAUUCAAUUACCUGAGAAAGUCGGUGACAAGAAACACAACAAUCAACAGAGCCAGAUAUGAGUAGGUUCCAAUGGGAUAAACCGAACGUAUCACCUGAUCCUGUGUCACAUUAUACCACUCGCCCAAGAGGAUCUCGGCAUGAUAAGGCUCCGACGGUCGCAGCUCCCGUAAAAAUCCAAACACGCAGAGCAAGCAUGAGACUUUCAGCCAAGACAACUCCAUCUCCAACCCUACACCGACCACCGCCAUUAACUAUCUAAUCGACAGCUUAGUCGACGGCACUGACAGCGGCAAUUUAGCGGAAUCUUGAACAACUCUCCAUGCUUAGCAUACAAAUAAUUAAAAUAAUUAUACAAACUUAUAUGGGGUUAUAAUUUGAACUAUAAGUACAUGAAUUUGGUUGAUUAUUUGUAAUCAGAGCUAACCGCCUAGAGAUUAACGCUGAGUAAAUACAAGGGAACGUUAACGUGUUCCCUAAUCGUUAGCAAUCUUUAGUACACGAUCUUUACAUUCCACUUGCUAAAAUUCACACAAUAUAAAUUAAUGCGAUUGAUAUGUAAAAACAAUAUUAUCACAUGUGUUACACAGGCAAUUAUUAUAAAAUAUUAUAAUUAUAGCCAUUAAUCAGAUUGAUUAUCAAACCUAAUUGAUGUAUUAAAAUAAGAUAGAAAAUCGAUCUGAAUGCACUUGUAGAUGAUAUUGGUAGUCCUAUUGGCCGAUUCCAUUAUUUGCACUGCGGGAAACAAAAAGUGGACUGAACUCUAACACAAAUCUUGUGUAAUCAAUUCAUAUACUUAAUUUGUAUACGAGUAUAAUGGACGACUUCCGGGUUUGUAGUCAAUUAUACACUUACACAUUGUCUAAGGGCAAUAAACAAAUACUUAAAAACUG